RNAcentral lists this ribosomal RNA (341 nucleotides) under uncultured bacterium. RNAcentral's name for it is "bacterial SSU rRNA". It matches the Rfam family "Bacterial small subunit ribosomal RNA", at positions 1 to 334 of the family's 1533-position model. The record is from RNAcentral.
GACGUGAUUCAGAGUUUUGAUCCUGGCUCAGGAUGAACGCUAGCGGCAGGCUUAACACAUGCAAGUCAGGGGCAGCAUGAUGUAGCAAUACAUUGAUGGCGACCGGCGCAAGGGUGCGUAACGCGUGAGUAACAUGCCCGUAUCAGGGGAUAACCCGAAGAAAUUCGGACUAAUACCCCAUAGUAAUUUGUGGAGGCAUCUCUAUGAAUUUUAAAGCUCCGGCGGAUACGGAUUGACUCGCGUGACAUUAGCUAGAUGGUAAGGUAACGGCUUACCAUGGCAACGAUGUCUAGGGGAACUGAGAGGUCGGUCCCCCACACUGGAACUGAGACACGGUCCAG